This 859-nucleotide ribosomal RNA is filed under the name uncultured Pseudomonadota bacterium. Its description in RNAcentral is "bacterial SSU rRNA". It matches the Rfam family "Bacterial small subunit ribosomal RNA", at positions 58 to 947 of the family's 1533-position model. Lineage: Bacteria; Pseudomonadati; Pseudomonadota. The record is from RNAcentral.
CAAGUCGAACGCCCUUAGCAAUAAGGGAGUGGCGGACGGGUGAGGAACCCGUGGGUACCUACCCCACAGUGAGGAAUACCGGCGAGAAAUCGCCGACAAUACCGCAUACGCCUGGUCUUUCGAGACCAAGCAAAGCCCGCAAGGGCGCUAUGGGAUGGGCCUGCGACUGAUUAGCUAGUUGGGGGGGUAAAAGCCUCCCAAGGCGACGAUCAGUAGCUGGUCUGAGAGGACGAUCAGCCACACUGGGAUUGAGAACGGCCCAGACUCCUACGGGGGGCAGCAGUGAGGAAUUUUCGGCAAUGGGGGCAACCCUGACCGAGCAACGCCGCGUGCAGGAUGACGGCCUUCGGGUUGUAAACUGCUUUUCUCUGGGACGAGAACGGACGGUACCAGAGGAAUCAGCCUCGGCUAACUACGUGCCAGCAGCCGCGGUAAUACGUAGGAGGCAAGCGUUGUCCGGAGUUACUGGGCGUAAAGGGCCUGUAGGCGGUGCGUUACGUUUGGAGUGACAGUGCGUGGCUUAACCACGCAAGGCCUUCGAACACGGACGCACUUGAGGGCUUCAGAGGGAGGCGGAAUUCCGGGUGGAGCGGUGAAAUGCGUAGAGAUCCGGAGGAACACCAACGGCGAAGGCAGCCUCCUGGGAAGUUCCUGACGCUGAGGGGCGAAAGCUAGGGGAGCGAACAGGAUUAGAUACCCUGGUAGUCCUAGCGGUAAACGAUGACCACUAGACGCAGGAGGAUCGACCCCUUCUGUGUCGCAGCUAACGCGAUAAGUGGUCCGCCUGGGGAGUACGGUCGCAAGAUUAAAACUCAAAGGAAUUGACGGGGACCCGCACAAGCAGUGGAGCGUGUGGUUU